RNAcentral lists this transfer RNA (72 nucleotides) under Hoplopleura sp. RNAcentral describes it as "tRNA-Asn". The record is from RNAcentral. Lineage: Eukaryota; Metazoa; Arthropoda; Insecta; Psocodea; Hoplopleuridae.
UUCCGUUAGUUAAAACCAAUAGAUCUGAGGUGUCACAUUGUUACUGUGACUAAAGGCUUGAUCCUAACUAAU